GAUGGCCCAAAGGAGCAGGCGGCCCAACUGAAAGGGCCUCCCCUAGCUAUCAAAGAGAUGUGGCAAGACUGAUAGUCAUGAAUUGCUAGAAGCAUCGACAUUCAGGCACAUACCCACGUGGUUGGAAUGACAACUGAGGAUUUUCACAUAACUUUCAACAGAUGAAGGACUAUCAAAUAGGCUCAGCAAUUGACGACGCUGGCAAAAAUCAGUUGUUUAAAGUGAAAGGGGAGCAUAAAAGAGGAUGCAAGAGACAGAUAACAUAGAAGAUACCAACAGCAACACAGAUACUCGGCACCAGCUAUCAAAAAGUAACAUGUAAUAGCAAGCUUGCAACAGCACCUCAGAACAGACUAAGACAUGAUGGAUUUUCCUGUAUAGAAUUCAAACUGGCUUGACUAGGUGAGCACUCAGAUAUUUUUCUUUUUUUUUUU
This is a non-coding RNA of Pogona vitticeps (central bearded dragon), 434 nucleotides long. The record is from RefSeq and is a predicted model, not a curated record. Lineage: Eukaryota; Metazoa; Chordata; Lepidosauria; Squamata; Agamidae.